Equus asinus (donkey) is the source of this 1533-nucleotide long non-coding RNA. The record is from Ensembl. NCBI's taxonomy places the organism in Eukaryota, Metazoa, Chordata, Mammalia, Perissodactyla, Equidae.
AGUAAGACAUCCGUGCCCCCACCUCCUGGCGCCAGCGCUGGCCAAUCAGAUUAGCUGCUCCGGGGAAACUAAGGCCGCAGAGGAGGUUGCAGACGCUCCCUUUGUAACGCUUCUGCCAACGGGGAGGACGUUCCAUCUGUCUGGUCAGAGAAAGGACUUGGGCAGAGAAGAGGGUCCCUCCACAGGCCAGUUCAGGUUGUCUGAUAAAUCUCCAGAGUCUGAUGGACCCAGGAAGUGAUCCUAAGAGGUUCAGGGCUGCACGACUGUCCUUCCCACCUCACAGAUGAGGAAACCGAGGCGCCGGAAGGUUAAUGACUUAUCCGAGGCCACUUGUCACAGCGCAAGUCCGUGGAGGAACUGGGGUGGAAGCCAGCAUGAUGUGCAGAGACCACAGUCAGACGCGACGCUGAGCCCAUUUCAAACGCCCUCUCAGAAACGUUGUCAGAGGGUGAUUCUCCCAGUAAAGCCAACAGGGAAGAAACGGGGACAGGGAAAAGCUCAAGGCACCUGAGUGCAAACCCCUGCUUCUCCUCAGACAAGCUGUGUGACUUCAGGCGAAUCAGCGGUGUUGGCGAGACCUCUGUUUCUUUCCCUCCAAAGCAGGAGGAAAGACUUCCCCAUAAGGCUGUAACGAGACAGUGUAAGUUAAGUGCUUGGCGCCAGUAGAAACACUCUACCCAGUAGCUGUUGUGACUUUGCUGUUAUGCCCCCUCUCCCCACCGUGAAAUGUAGCCACUUCGUUAUUUAUAGUUCCUCCGAACCAAACAGAGACAGCAAACCAAAGACAGGAAGUUCCUCCCUGACCCUGUCUGCCUCCUCAAGAAGGGAGCCGCUGUCCCAGAUGUGUUUGGACCAGGCUGGUGGCACCUCUCAGGGGUGUUGGGGGAGGGGCUUCCACUUUGGGUGGGAAUGGGUUUGGUGACUUCUUAAAAUCUCUUUCAACUCCAAGAUUCUAUUUAGAACCCAGGUCAACCCAGGCUCUCACCCCUUAUGCAUUCUCCACAACGAAACCCAAACAGAUUUCCCAGGGGGGAAACGCAGGAGAGAUGGUACCCAGCACCCCUUGCAACACACCUCCUCUGCAUGCCCAUCCCCCGAGUUUCCAUUCUCCCAUGCUGCCCCUGGUAGUCUUCCUCUUCCAAACUCCCCUGCAGAUGCUCCAUUUCUUUCUGUUGGGUCAAGCAAUGCAGCUGUGCCCUCUAACAUGUCUGCCCCAGCCAGGUCAACCAUAGCAGCUGACAGGCUCCACCCUCCCCAGCAGGCAGUGUAGAGACCGUCCACUCUUCCUGGAGCAUGGCCCCUGGGGCCUUACUCCACAACCAAAGAGACUUAGCACAGAAUCCGUUUCCUCUACACACAGAACUUUUUCCAAGAGGAACUCCUAUAACAGAAUUUUCUCCAUCUUUUUGCAUACAAUUUAAUGAUUUCAGCCUCCAGUUCCAAGAGCUUGUAUUACCUCCUUGUAAAACAAACUAUGCCAACAAAUAUUUAUAUUCAUAUAUUUUUUAAAUGCCUCUGCAUUUUUUAUCUAUU